Molecule: long non-coding RNA, 1319 nt
Organism: Rhipicephalus sanguineus (brown dog tick)
Lineage: Eukaryota; Metazoa; Arthropoda; Arachnida; Ixodida; Ixodidae
Exons: 2
Source: RefSeq, a predicted model, not a curated record
GAAACUGCUACGUCAGAGUUCAGGCGGGUGAUUUGAAGUGCGCUAAAGCCGCGAUUUUCUUUCAAAAUAAGCAUUUCCUUGGCACAAAUCAAGCACUACGAGGGUUCUGAAACGCUAUUCCAACAAUCAACGUCGACUUAAUAUUUUCCUUUAGUGUCCCUUUAAAGCAUUAUAAGUAAGUAAAGCUGGCGUAAACUAUGUUGAAAUUUUUUUUAAUGUAACCAAUUAGGGUGUGUCGACUCUGCGCUAUAUAUCGCCAAGCCUCGACGUUAUAGAGUUUUGGUGCACUUCUGAAUGAUUCUUUAUGGCAUCCUAUUUGUAUUGGGACUUGUGUUAGAGGUUCCCAGCGAUAUUUUCUCUUACUUUUACCAUUUCUGUUUCACCACAUUGGAGUUAUCAGAGUUUUUUUUUUUAAAUGUAUGUAUUCUCUUUUGUAUACAGUAUUUCUUCUUUGAGAUGUUCUUGUAUUACUGCAUAUCCGACUUGGUAAAAACAAACAUUGCCAUUUUUACGAGGUAUGGUGUCUGGCCAAAAAGAAAAAAAAACGCUGGUGUAUUGACUUAUUAAGCGGCCACACAUUCUGUGCACAGACUGCACACAUUUCACCUUUUGUUUCGAUGACCCAGGCCUGAUUCCUUCUUUCGGCAGCUUUGCAUUGAGAACGUCAAACAAGUCGUUCAGCUCCUUAGUGAAAACUUCGGUGCCUUCGCUGUUUUCCAGUCCUGGGAGCCCCUGGUUCCUGUAAAAUUCCAAGCCUAUGGCUGUUCCACGGCUGAAAAGCUGAAAAUAAGGGUACAACGGUAAGACAAGUUAGCACUGUUGCACUAUGCGCGCCUCAUAAUCAUAUUGUGCUUUUGACACAACAAACGCAACAGUAAUAAUGUUAACUAAUAUUGUUGACAUUGCUUGCUUGUAUCAUUUCAAUUGUGCCUUCUCACCUGUGCAGCAAGGCGUACAUUCAUCUUGCGCAAGCAGUCUGGUUCAAUGUGUGCUUGCGUCAGCUUUGGCACAAUACGAAGCUGCUGGUUCUCCUCGGCUUUGUACAGCAACCGGUAGUGAUCGUAGGCAACUUCACAGUUUCCAGCCUAGAAAAACACAUGCAAAUGAAUUGCACGAUAUCCUGAAUUGCGCCCACAUGGCCUUGUUGCUCCCGGCACCAUCACUGACGACUGCUAUCACUACUGCAUUUUGCUUGAAAAGUUCGAGAACAGCCUCAAGCACAAGCCUGGCAAGGACAUCACCUGGUGCAGCUCCCUUGCUGGCGAAGCUGGCGAUUGGCUGUACCCAGUUACUGAAUAAAGGCACAUACAUGAACACAA